UUGUUUUGGCAUUUUCGGUUUCUGUUUUGGUAUCAGACUGUGUGAAGAGGCUGCACUUAUCUUUCAGGACCAAGAACUUGGAAGUGGAACAAAGCCUGACUCAGAAAAAAGGGGGUGAAG
Parambassis ranga (Indian glassy fish) is the source of this 120-nucleotide long non-coding RNA. Lineage: Eukaryota; Metazoa; Chordata; Actinopteri; Ambassidae. The record is from Ensembl.